UCAGUUCUACUUUCGCUCCCAAAGGGAAUACACAGCAUUAAAAAUUAUUAACCAGUUCACCCAACAUCAAAAAAGUUUUCAAAACACCUUCGAGAACGGGCUGUAUAUUACACUCAGCAACAGGAACGAAAAUAUACUCAGCAAAAGAAGUCCGAAUCCAUGAUAGUGUGAUGUCAAGGCGCAUAAGUUGUGCAUAUGGUGAAAAAUACAAUUGACAUUCAUAAACAAGUUUAUGAUUUGUGAAACACAUUCAGAGCACCCUGUAUACAAUGAGAAGCAAUUUAAAAGUGGUUCAAAACUGCGGCACGCCCACACUUUUGAACAAUUUUUAAAUUUUCCAAUUUUUUUCAAUAAUAUCUAUCAAUAUCCCAGAUUGAUGCUUCCCUCUUUUUUCAUGUCGAUACAGGGUGCUGUAUCUGUUUCAUAAGUCAUACAUUUUUUUUAUGAGUGCAAAAAUUAGUUUUAAUACUAUGUACACCUUACAACGCCGUGGCAUCACAAUAUUAUGGAUACGUACUUAUCUUUUGCCGACCCGUCCUUGGAAGGUGUUUAAAAACUAUUUUGAUGUUGGGUACACUGUUAAAUAUUUUUGAUGACAUUUUUUUUUGGGUGUGUGAAAGUUGCAGAGCCGAGAAAUAAAUUUGUGCAACUGAUCUUUGCCGAGCUUAAAGGUGCGUGCAUAAAAUCCGACAACUGCAUUUUAUGCAUUGUGGCCCGAUAUUUGGGACACAUAUACUAGAUAGCUCAUAGCUGCGCCAGGAGGAAUUAUGAGAUGUUCGCUGCUGCUAAGCCUGAAUUCGUUCUAUCCGUUUCUUUUCUAAUUAAAAUCCGGUGGAGUUCCCGUAUUCUACAAUUUUAUACAAGCGGAGUCUAAGCAAAUUCAGGUCACGGAAAGAAGUACCAGCGAAGGUAGCAAGGUGACCGUCUGGUGUCGGCCAGAGAGACCCCCCAAGUGUUCAGUAAAUACUCAUUCAGCGGAUUGAACCCUAGGAGCACAUGAAAUCGGCUGCGCAACUUUCUUCUGUGGCCGGCUAUACAGUUGCGGAGAAUUUUCUUGGAGUUGGCAGUGAUCGGUGGUUCAAAUGACCCUUUAAAACAAAUUUCAAUAAUGUGCCUUGUUACUUGUUUUCUCCAAUCGACUUUGACCUACAUCGCAGGGCAAGAGUUACUUGCAUAAGCCUUCUAUGAUUUUUAAAUGUGAACUUUUGCUGAAGCCAAGAAUAAUGAGAACUGUCAUUGAAAUUAUA
This is a long non-coding RNA of Drosophila mauritiana, 1247 nucleotides long. RefSeq lists it as uncharacterized. NCBI's taxonomy places the organism in Eukaryota, Metazoa, Arthropoda, Insecta, Diptera, Drosophilidae. The record is from RefSeq and is a predicted model, not a curated record. The transcript is spliced from 4 exons.